UACGGAGGAUUCAAGCGUUAUCCGGAUUUAUUGGGUUUAAAGGGUGCGUAGGCGGUUUGAUAAGUUAGAGGUGAAAUCCCGGGGCUUAACUCCGGAACUGCCUCUAAUACUGUUAGACUAGAGAGUAGUUGCGGUAGGCGGAAUGUAUGGUGUAGCGGUGAAAUGCUUAGAGAUCAUACAGAACACCGAUUGCGAAGGCAGCUUACCAAACUAUAUCUGACGUUGAGGCACGAAAGCGUGGGGAGCAAACAGG
RNAcentral lists this ribosomal RNA (253 nucleotides) under Alistipes onderdonkii. RNAcentral describes it as "partial 16S ribosomal RNA". It matches the Rfam family "Bacterial small subunit ribosomal RNA", at positions 524 to 776 of the family's 1533-position model. RNAcentral also lists the same sequence under 2 other names. The record is from RNAcentral. Lineage: Bacteria; Pseudomonadati; Bacteroidota; Bacteroidia; Bacteroidales; Rikenellaceae.